CGAAGCCGAAGCCGAAGCCCAAGCCCAAGCCCAGGUCCAGGGCCAAGCCUAGGGCGACGCCCAGCCCCGUCUCCCUGCUCUCCGGCAUCUCCUCUCCUUACGCGUGCCGCACGCCGUCCCCUGCUGCCGCCGACCUCAGCUUCCUCUCGCCCUCCUCCCCGCCCGCGGAACCCGGAACCAGGAAUUCUUCGCCCCUCGCCGCCCCCACUACCAUGUCCACCAUCGGAGACCUGAGGAGCCUCGCCGCGUCGCACCUCGACUCCCUGAAGCGCCGCUUGGACGCGCUCCACGGCGACUAUGUCCGCGACCUUGAGGCCUCCCACUCCCGCAUCUCCAAGCGCGUCAAGAUGGAGUCCCAUGGCUGCCUGCAGCUAGCAGAGGAAGUGGACAAGGAACAGCAGAAGAUAGCCGACAAGAUCGCCGAGCGCGCCGAGCUGGUGAAGACCUCUUACAAGAAGUUCGUGGCUGAAGUGCAGGCGUCCACAUCCCGUGUGUGCAAGGUGACUGUCCCUGAGAUGACGAAGUCCAUGGAGAGGGCUAUUGAUGGCUUGCGCAGUCGCUACAUCUCCGCUAUACCAUCAGCUUAGCUGGUGCUGUUGUCCACAUCAAUUGAGGUCACAUGUUGAGUCUUAAAUCGGCUUCGCAGCAGGGACUUGCACAUUUGUACAUAAUAUCACCGUUGCAUGAGUACAUGAGAUAGUUCAUUGCUACAUCUCCAUUUCCAGAUAUCCCGAAAAGUCAAUAAUAGUUCCUUCGAUCCUUGGAACUUUUUUUUUUGCUUCGUCGCAUUUCUUGUGCAUCCCGUAAGAUGCUACUGUCGAUGUACCUUUCACGCUCAGAGCAUCUAAUUUUUAAUCAUGUUUGUUCUAGCAGUACGUUAGCUAUCGCCUCAAGCCUGAAUGGUCAGUUGCUGCAUGACAAUUAACAACCAAAACCCAGGUCUUGUUUUGUUCUAAGCGGUAAUUUCUGUUCAGUUUGUAGCUGCCAGUUGAUUUGCACUUUAUACUUGCGCCCGAAAACAGUUUAUGACUUCGGAUUAAACCCAUGAUUAAAACUAGCUGUUUGAAUUGCUGCAAACUAUGACACGUUAUGACAACACAACCUGUGUUUGCUGCUUGUUGGUUUUUCAUCAUCCAAUUCCAAUCCACGAUACACUGGAUAAAACCGGUUCAGAUUUCUUUUGAUUAAAACCCUUGUUUCGCACUCACUCUAUGCUAACAAUAACGGGUUCUCGAUUGAUAUGUCAUCUUUUAGCUACUCAGAUGUUUUAGUUUGCUAAGUUUGAAUAGUCUUUUGCUGUCAUGCUCAUGCUUGGUUCCGUCCGUCCGUCGAGGAAUUUGUCAAAAUAGGUCGUUCUAAACUGCCGCUCUGCAAAAUACGCCCGCGCUAGCUCAGGUCGUAAAAAUGGGUCGCUCAAGCGCUGUCACUCGCCAGGAGAGGUCACGGCAGCUUCUGGCGUACCUGGCAGGUGGGCCCCAGUACGCUUGUACCUAUUAUGCCCUUACGGUUUAACUCCAUGCCGUCUGUUCUUCUUCUCUGGACGCCGAGCACUCCUUCUCCUCCUCUGUCGGCGGUCGUGGGAGACGUACACGGCGAUUAGGAGGCACGUCGUCCACCAGUCUCCUCGCAGGGAUGUCGAAGAGCACGGAAAUCGCAGAUAAAGCAAUCAUCUUGAUGCAGGAUCAUGCCAAGCAUAUCUAUCGUAUUUGCAAUGAGAAGCUAAUAUUGGGUAAAGGAUUGACUGCAUUUGAGGUCAAAGAACUUCGUGAAGCACUUGAAUUCGCCGCCGAAGGAUUGGACCAGGACUCCCUUUUUUGCCAAGAGGAAUUGGAUGCAACUGUUAAGGAGGAACAAUUGGAGCAUGACGAGAAGGUGGCUUCACAGAUGAUUGAAAGCCCACUUCUUCUCCUGAUUCGGACUGCUUCCUAUCCCUUGAAGAGCACAUUGAGAAGUUUUGGGGCGUUGAUUACAACUCGGACCAGAUGCCUAGCUACUCCGACUAGGCUCAGAGUUUAUGGUGCUGUGAAAUUCUGGAUGUUUGGGUGUAAUGGUAUUUUGGAUGUGUAUGUGAACUGUAAUUCUGGAUGUGUGGAUGUAAUGGUGAACUGACUGAAUGGUGUCUUGUGUAAUGGUAUUUUGGAUGUCUAUGUGAACUCUAGUUCUGGGUUUAAUGGUGAACUGAAAUUCAGUGUUCAUUGUUC
Molecule: RNA transcript, 2201 nt
Organism: Zea mays
Lineage: Eukaryota; Viridiplantae; Streptophyta; Magnoliopsida; Poales; Poaceae
Exons: 6
Source: RefSeq, marked validated